CUGUCUAGUCUGUACUGACGCUGAGCUCGAAAGCAUGGGUAGCGAACAGGAUUAGAUACCUGGUAGUCCAUGCCGUAAACGAUGAGUGCUAAGUGUUGGAGGGUUUCCCCCUUCAGUGCUGCAGCUAACGCAUUAAGCACUCCGCUGGGGAGUACGACCGCAAGGUUGAAACUCAAAGGAAUUGACGGGGGCCCGCACAAGCGGUGGAGCAUGUGGUUUAAUUCGAAGCUACGCGAAGAACCUUACCAGGUCUUGACAUCUUCUGCCAAUCUUAGAGAUAAGACGUUCCCUUCGGGGACAGAAUGACAGGUGGUGCAUGGUUGUCGUCAGCUCGUGUCGUGAGAUGUUGGGUUAAGUCCCGCAACGAGCGCAACCCUUAUUAUCAGUUGCCAGCAUUCAGUUGGGCACUCUGGUGAGACUGCCGGUGACAAACCGGAGGAAGGUGGGGAUGACGUCAAAUCAUCAUGCCCCUUAUGACCUGGGCUACACACGUGCUACAAUGGACGGUACAACGAGUCGCGAAGUCGUGAGGCUAAGCUAAUCUCUUAAAGCCGUUCUCAGUUCGGAUUGUAGGCUGCAACUCGCCUACAUGAAGUUGGAAUCGCUAGUAAUCGCGGAUCAGCAUGCCGCGGUGAAUACGUUCCCGAGCCUUGUACACACCGCCCGUCACACCAUGAGAGUUUGUAACACCCAAAGCCGGUGAGAUAACCUUCGGGAGUCAGCCGUCUAAGGUGGGACAGAUGAUUAGGGUGAAGUCGUAACAAGGUAACCA
Molecule: ribosomal RNA, 772 nt
Filed under: uncultured Lactobacillus sp.
Lineage: Bacteria; Bacillati; Bacillota; Bacilli; Lactobacillales; Lactobacillaceae
Description: bacterial SSU rRNA
Rfam family: Bacterial small subunit ribosomal RNA
Source: RNAcentral